CGGUUUAAUACUGGCUAUCAUCAUUAGCUGUCUGGUUGAAUAACAAAUAUUCAUGAAUUUCAUCAUAUUUGGCCACUGUCCUAACAGAUUGACAACUCCAUUUUCUGAUAUGGUGGAACAGUUUGCACUGUCAUCGUUGUCUUCAUCUCAUUGAACUUCAAGCAAAAUGCAAGCCAUCAAUCCAGGACCUCCUACAGAAAUGCAUCCUACACCUUUCACAGACCUAAAUGUACUGUGUGCAGUAAUGCUCGAAUGACUAUACUCGGGAACGUCCAAAUAUGGAGAAGAGUAAACAUUAAUAACAUAUUUGUAAUAAUCAGCUCAUUACAUAUUAUUCUUGCUGAUAGUAUGAGUACAUCAAUGCAGAAAUUGCAAAGUUCUUGCCCACUUGUUAAAGUGAAGGUAGAAAGUGAUAAUAUUUAAAUUGUGUAAUAUAUAUUACAUAUAGGUGAAUGACUUAAAAUUUUACCCCAAAAGUUCAUUUUUAGAGGCAAAUAAAUGUUGUCAGAUAUACUUUUGGUGCGAUAACUUACCUAUUCCUUAGGAUAUCGUCCUACUUUCCAAACAAACCCCAAAACACCUUUAUAACAUUAAUAGAACUCUCAGAAUAAGACACAAGGUACAAUUUUUGUGA
Liolophura sinensis is the source of this 634-nucleotide long non-coding RNA. RefSeq lists it as uncharacterized. The transcript has 3 exons. NCBI's taxonomy places the organism in Eukaryota, Metazoa, Mollusca, Polyplacophora, Chitonida, Chitonidae. The record is from RefSeq and is a predicted model, not a curated record.